Poecilia reticulata (guppy) is the source of this 1150-nucleotide non-coding RNA. NCBI's taxonomy places the organism in Eukaryota, Metazoa, Chordata, Actinopteri, Cyprinodontiformes, Poeciliidae. The record is from RefSeq and is a predicted model, not a curated record.
GACACAUUGAUUCCAAAUGUGGACCAAAGGACCCAAUUCAAAAAGAGAUUCCAGCUGUUAAAGGAAGAACAAAGCAGAAAUCCAGGGAUGCAGUGUUGUCCUGCACAAUGUYACAUUAACUCUGGAUCUGAACGGUGUCCAACCCGAGAUGACUCCAGGUCAAUCAGAACCCUGUCGUCAUCAYCACCUGGUCAACCGAGAGAACGUCUCCUCACUGCCCACAAUGUGACAUCUGACCCAGCCAGGUCCAGCUUAAAGUCUUUCAGCAYCGUCACCGUCUCCGCUGGCUUGUUAAACAUCCGCUCACUCACCAACAAAGAGUCUUCCGUUUCCAGACUUCUGAGGGAAAAGCAGUUUGACUUCUUCUGCUUGACAGAGACCUGGCAGAAGAAAAACGAUCUAACACAUUUAAACAGGGCAGCGCCAGAUGGGUAUUCUCACAUCAGCCAACCACGCUCUGAAGGACGAGGAGGCGGUGUCGCAGUGCUCUUCAGAGACAWGUGGCUYGUAUCUUCUGUCAGUGUCCCCACUUACAACUCUUUUGAAUCUAUAGUACUACAAAUCCACUUAUCGGUACCCACCAUUUUAGCCACYAUCUAUCGCCCUCCUGAACCCAACAAGGAGUUUUUAAGCGAUUUCUCUUCUCUUUUAACAUUUUUGUGGUCCUUAUCCCCAAAUAUCAUCGUAGUGGGUGAUUUCAACAUUCACAUGGACAAAUUCAGCAAGACUUUGACACGGGACUUUUAUUAUUUGUUGGACGGUUUUGGAAUGCAGCAAUAUGUUGACUUUUCUACACAYAGCCAAGGUCACAUUCUGGAUCUUGUCUGCUGCUCUGCUUCAACGCUUUCUAGCUGUACAGCAUUAGAAAUGUCCAUCUGUGACCACAAAUUAAUUUCAUUUACUGUCACCUUACCGCUAUCCAGACUCUAGUUUCAUCUUCUUUCAAACGUCAGUAGCUCUGUACUGUCUGGUACAUCUGACAAAAUCACAGCAAUAUGCACCGAUGGUGUGGUUUGACUCUACAACAAUGCAGGAGAAAGACAUUCUGCAGAGCAAAACAUCCCUUCUUCGGCUGGAUGUUAGAUUUUCUCAAUUGUUUUGGUGAAUUUCUUUAAACAGAAUAAAAAUGUUCAUUACUAUUAUUUCUACC